Molecule: transfer RNA, 68 nt
Filed under: Marmota monax (woodchuck)
Lineage: Eukaryota; Metazoa; Chordata; Mammalia; Rodentia; Sciuridae
Description: tRNA.Ala
Source: RNAcentral
GGAUUGUAGCUCAGUGGUAGAGUGGUUGCCUAGCAUAUGUGAGGCACUGAGUUCGAUUCUCAGCACCA